CUGUUUUCCGAUCUAAUAUUAAUAUUUUAACCAGAAUGUUCUCUCCCGUAAGUCUAUGAUGAAAUACACAGUAUCCCGUGGUUAAAUCUUCAAACAUAUUUAGUUUACAUGUUAUCGAGACAACAGACAAUACCACGAACUAUAAUUGACCCAGAUACACACAGUGUACAGUGGUCGUUUUAAAACAAAUAUAAUAGCGUCGUCAAGGGCCACCAAGGGACCAUAUCAAAGACGUUCCGAGAAUUUUAUUCUGACUUCCGGCCGAGAGAUAUCGAGUGGCCCAUAGACACAUCCAAAACUCGCC
RNAcentral lists this long non-coding RNA (304 nucleotides) under Mytilus galloprovincialis (Mediterranean mussel). Lineage: Eukaryota; Metazoa; Mollusca; Bivalvia; Mytilida; Mytilidae. The record is from RNAcentral.